ACUUUUUUUUUUUUUUUGCCCUUCGUUUACCUCUAGGGCUCCUGUCCUCUCACCGCUCGGCCGCCGCCGGCGACGGCGAAGACAACAUUUCCAUCGCCAUCUCGCCAUAAUAAUCCAUGGCUUUUCCUCUGGCCCGUUAGCCCUAGCCACAUUACGUUGUUUGGGGAUUGGGAAUUGGGAAUCGGGAGAGAUUCAGAGAUGGGAGAUCACCUGGGGCAUGCCAGAUCGAUGUGACGCCGCCGAGCGCCGGCGGCGAGCGGAGCGGCAGGGGGCGAGGAUUGGCGCUGCGUUCUCCCCUCCCUGAAUUCUUCCGCCCCGUUUCUGGAUUUCUCGGUCGCAAUCCAGGAUCAAUCGACGCGACCCCCGGGAGAAAGUUACUACUCGUACUCCGUCAUCUCAUCUCUCUCUCUACCUCGUCGUCUCCAUCUGCUAUUCUGCAUGCAUGAGCCAAUCGAUAUACUCCUACGCCAUGACCAUGAUCAAGCAAAGCAAUGUACACCUGCUGCUGUGAGAGUUGCAAUUCUCCACGGUGCAUCAUCGAUCAUCAAUUACUGCUGCUGCUGCUGCCAGGUAACCCAGCAGAACACUACUACUACGAGCUGGUACAAUAGCAGACUAUUAGCCAGCUAUAAACAUAUUUUAAUGAGAUAAACGAUAAGAGAGAAGAACAGCGGGCUACAGAUCUGUAGCAAGCUGCAGCAUGAACUCCAAGACAUUGUGUAUAGAUGAAUUGAAGCUAAUAGUGGGCUAUGCUAUUAAACUUGCUCUACUCCAGCAGAGUAGACUAGUGUAUGGUGUUUCUCUCUCAUCUGUGAUGGAUGGAAGCAUGCGCACACAGAAGAAGAGGAGAGAGGGGUACUCACUCCUACUGAGAAAGGGACACGUGACGAGGGGGGGAUUGUCCGGUAGCGCUUGGCGGCGAGCCCUGACUUUGAUGCGUGGGAAUAUUUGGUGGCAAAGUAGGCUGCACUUGUCUACCAAAUGUCCAUGCUCAAUUCCAAACUUGCAGCCCCUCUACUACCAAGCUCACUAUGCACACACAGCACAGCUUGCAUUGCAUAUAUAUUUUUCCAGCUGCUCCUUGCUUAAUUUUCUCUCCUCUCUCUCUCUCUCUUUUGAUCAGGCUGAGGCUCAGCAGCAGAAGCAGCAGCAGUAGUACCCCAUCAUCAUGCAUCCAUGGUGAGAGAUGGAUGGUCACUCACAUGUGAGCAGUAGUGCCGAUCUUGCCGGACUCUGCAGGGCCACCCACUGCCCAACCAUUUCUUGGCUAACUUGCUACGACUACACAUAUAUACCUAGCAAUGACAUGCAUGAAAGCCAAACACAAACUGCUCCAAUAUCUCUAUCUUCUUCUUUAGUUUCUGAAAAUGCACAUUGACAUCAUUUCCUCUUCAAUGGAGUAGAUAAACUAGAUAAGCUAUGUUUGAGGGAUAAAUUUAAGUAUGACACAUAAAUGGGGGCUAUUGCUAAUAAUAUAAUUAUACUCUUUCCAUCCAAAAUAUGAAAACAUUUCUAGGCCACUGAUUCUAAUGCACAAACAAUGUACAUUUUUAACCAAUGAGAUGCUUGGGAAAAGGAAUACUAUAAGCAAUUCAAAUAUCAAAAUUUGACUACUGAAUUGAAGUGACUAGAAGAGAAUUCUUUUUCCCUCCACCUUUGUUUUUGCUGAAGAACCUAAAAAUGUUUAUAUUUUCAAAAGAUGGAGUAUUUCAAGCUUGGUCUAUGGUGUUUUUUUAAUAUAUUCAGGGAUUGUUUCCUGUUUCUGCUGCCAUGAAAUCAUGAGGAUUCCCUGGAACAAGACAAGGGGGAAAUACAAGCAUUUGAGAUCACCAAGGCAUGGCCAAAAGGAAAGAAAUGGAUGGCAUGGCUGGCUUGCUGGAGCUCUCGUCUGUGUCGUCUGUGAUCAAUCAUGAUUCCGUAGAAACUACCAAAGCAUGCAAAAGGCCAAUUGGCAUAAAAAAAACCCCUGGUUAUUUUAAUUACCUACAGCAGCAGUUGCUCCUAUAUCUAUAUAUGCGUGUUUCUUCAUGUUUGAUAGUAUAUGAAUUAUGAGUAUAUAAUGACAGAAUCAAAUAAAACUUUUAUGUGUCA
Oryza sativa Japonica Group (Japanese rice) is the source of this 2091-nucleotide non-coding RNA. Lineage: Eukaryota; Viridiplantae; Streptophyta; Magnoliopsida; Poales; Poaceae. The record is from RefSeq and is a predicted model, not a curated record.